AAUGAACGUUGGCGGCAUGGAUUAGGCAUGCAAGUCGAGCGAGAAGAGUUUUGAAGCUUGCUUUAGAACUCGGACAGCGGCGAAAGGGAGAGUAACGCGUAGUUAUGUGCCCUAGGGUCCGGAAUAGCCACGGGAAACUGUGGGUAAUGCCGGAUAAUAUCCCCGGAUCAAAGGUGUGAUUCCGCCCUAGGAGCAGACUGCGUCCUACUAGCUAGUUGGUGGGGUAAUGGCCUACCAAGGCAACGAUGGGUAGCGGGUGGGAGAGCAUGACCCGUCUCACUGGGACUGAGACACUGCCUAGACACCUACGGGUGGCUGCAGUCGAGAAUCUUCGGCAAUGGGCGAAAGCCUGACCGAGCGAUGCCGCGUGCGGGAUGAAGGCCCUCGGGUUGUAAACCGCUGUCGUAGGGGAGGAAGGUUCCGUGAAGAGCGGAAUUUGACCUAUCCUAGGAGGAAGUACGGGCUAAGUUCGUGCCAGCCGCCGCUGUAA
Molecule: ribosomal RNA, 490 nt
Filed under: uncultured bacterium
Lineage: Bacteria
Description: partial 16S ribosomal RNA
Rfam family: Bacterial small subunit ribosomal RNA
Source: RNAcentral